CUGGAGCCGGGCGGCGGCCGGAGGAGAUGGACAAACUGACCGUCAUCUCAGGAUGCCUCUUCCUGGCCGCCGACAUCUUCGCCAUCGCCAGCCUGGCCAACCCCGACUGGAUCAACACCGGCGAGUCCGCGGGUGCUCUCACAGUUGGCCUUGUGCGACAGUGUCAAACCAUCCAUGGACGUGACAGGACCUGUAUUCCUCCACGGCUGCCUCCCGAGUGGGUCACUACGUUAUUUUUCAUCAUAAUGGGAAUCAUUUCACUAACUGUCACAUGUGGUUUGCUGGUGGCUUCCCACUGGCGAAGAGAAGCUACUAAAUAUGCCCGCUGGAUAGCUUUCACUGGAAGUGAUUUCAAGACUGAACAGCCCAGUACAGGCGACUAGCAGACACUCUCCUCGCAGAACUUUCAGAACAUGACAUAGGAUGUGCUGUCCUAAGGGGCAGUGAAGUCUGCUGGUAUUGCUAAAGGCAUCUCUGGGACUGGCAGCUCUGUUCUCUUCAAAUGCAAGGGGGGUCUAGAUGAAAUCAUCUAACCGCAAAGGAAUGGUCUUGCUCAGCCCUUUCCUUGCAACUCUGCCAGCAGCAAGGAGAGCCAGGCAAGAGGUCACUCUUGCCCCAUUUGUGCUGGAAUUUGACCCCAAUGGGUUAAGUCAGUUUGUUGCAGAUCCCCUCUAGCUACCCUUCUGUCCGAGGUGGUGAAAUGCAGUCCAGAGAAGUUAUGAGAAAGUCUCAUUCUUAUCCAUAGGUGACUAUCUGAAAUACCUCUGUUUUUGAGGAGGAAGAAGAAGACCUCCCUUGCAGAAGAGAAAGGUCUUGGAAGAGCAGCUCCAUGUAGCUGGUUUAACAAUAUUAUCUAGGGAAAAAGAACUUCCUGAUUCUUUUGUCUUGAUUUUUAUGAUAAUCACGUGACAGACUCUUCAGGAACUAUUUGAUGUUUUCCUCAGUUGAUAGAAUUCUGUAGAGUAAAUUGGUGCAAACAUCUUCAGCACUUCAUUCCUUUGCUCACUUUGCAGAGCACAGUAUGGUAAUUCAGGGAAGAAGAGUCCAGGUCAUAAACUAGUGCUGAUUGCUUGGCAUGCCUAUACCAACACCUUCAAAGAGAAGCAAAGUGAUUCUAUUCUGUAUGGCAGCCCUAAUAUUUCCAAUAGGAUUUUACAUCAAUGAAGUCGGAGGUCAACCAUAUAAAUUACCCAAUAACACAGUGGUUGGGUCUUCGUAUGUACUGUUUGUCUUAUCCAUUUUCUUUACAAUAGUCGGACUUCUAUUUGCUGGCAAAGUUUGUUUACCUGGCUGAUGAAUGUUGAACUGCGGGACUUUGUUUUGGAAAAGAACAAGACAUCAGAAUUACAUUCUCAGGAGGAUGCCUCGAUGUGACUAUCAGACACUUACUGAAAAGAGGAAUGCUUUGACUUUUUCUCACUAUGCACUUUGGAUUAAAAAAAUGGAGAGCCUUUCCCAUUACCAAAUACAGACAACGUUGACUAAUCUCCUGAGCAUAUUUAAUGCAGUCAGGUCUGCACUGUGAUAGGAACUAGUGAAGAAUGCUUUACACUGAGAAGCAUAAUGCCCCGUGUUACUGUAUUGUUCUAGUUUUUAAUGUCUAAUGGUUUGGAAGUCAAAGUAUUUAUGAACUUUGUGGUAGACCAGAGGGUUGCAGAGGAAUGCAAGCGAGGCUGGCCUCGCUGUAUAGGAGAUUAGUAUUUUACAUCCUCUGUCUCACGAGCAAAGCCUUUGGCACCGGUAUGGAUCAGUCUUUCGUUGCUGCACCAAGAAGCCAAUAGAGCAAACUUUCUCUAAAAUGUAUGUACCAUCAUGAAGACAUACAUCCCCUCCUCCCCCAUAAGCUGUAGAAAAACACUAAAGAACAUUUUAGAGGGGGAUUUCUUCCUUAUAUUUAUAUAAAUAUAUAUAUAUAAUUAUAUAUAUAUUUUGCUGAUGCAGUAUACAGUGUGUGUGUGUAUGUGUGCGUGUGUAUAUACACAUAUGUAUAUAUUUGUAUAUACACACAAAUGGUUCCUGGAAAAGAACUCAGAACGCUUUGCUAGCAAAACACUGUGGUGUGCAAAACUAGAACUCAAUAGAAAAAGAAAAAGCCAUUUCUCUGAAGGCCACAUAGCUGAGAGUCUUCAGUUUACCUCAUUCUUUGUAGCAGCCCUUGAUUUUAACAGUUUUUGUAUUAGGUACAAACGAUCCCAUGCCUUUUUAGGUGCAAUUUUAAGUUAAGCUGAAAUUCUUUUUAUGGUAAUUUAUUUGUAUAUGAGGGUGGAAGGUGAGAUCAUGUCAUACCUUAAAGUUAAAACCCUAAUUUUGGGAAACUGACACUAUUUAAAUUAUUAGCAACUGUUGUACAGAACGUCUCUUUUUCUACUGCGUUGUUAUAUUAACACUCAUUUGUGUUCAAACGUAGCUGUUUACCACAGAUGAGCAUUUCUCUAGCACAGGUAAAAUGUAACAUUUAAAGUAAAGCAAGCACUGUUUCACUGCUGAGGUGGAUGGACUUAUUCACCUCCACAAAAAACCCAAUAGCAAUAUCAUUGUAUAAACAGUACACGCCUCAUUUACUGAAGUGAAUCUACAUGCAGAUUUAAGGGCCAACCACAUUUAGAGUAAAUAUUCCUCACAAAAAAGCAGUUUUACUUUUCAACACAGAAAUAAGUCUUUGGCUCCAUAGGUGUCAUAAUUUACCACUCGAUCUGCCUAGAGGAAAGUAGCAUUUUUGUUAGUGUCCCAGGAAGGCUGCCUGCAUUCUCAGUAUCUGUUCUCCAGUUAAUCUGUGAUUUACCAGUAUAAUCACUUAUCAGAUAACCUGAAGUUAUCUGAUUCUGCCAAGUUAAACAGUUCAUAUUUUGAUGUUCUGGAACAAACUUGUCAUUGUAACAGCCUCAGUGACUUCUUUUUCCCUUACAGGUAGAAGUGUUCACAUAACACUAAAUUUUUCUUAAGUACUCUAACCUGUAAAUAUGGCCAGGCCCCAGCCAUUUGUAAAUGAUGGCUGAAACAUGAUUUGGUUCUGAACUUAAGUCUUUCGGUAUGAAUGUUCUAAUUUUUUCCAGUGCUGCUAACAGGAAGAUGCAUUAAUGAAAGAUAAAACGUCAGGUUCAGCUGCUGGGUAUGUCUAAACUUUCAGCAUUACUGUGGGUUUAGCCAAAGCUGAAGUAUUUGCUUGAACUUAAAUUAUGACAAAGAAAAGCUCUUCUGUUUUCAGAAAUAUCACUUUUGUAAAUAGUUUUAGGUUCUUGUAACUGGAAUGUAGAGGGUGGAAGAGUUUGUUGGCUACCAAGAUGCCACCCCUCGCCUACUUAUUUCAGGUAUAGUAACAUCACGUAUAUGGUGGAUUUAGGCUUCAGUUAGUGGAUCAUCAUAUAACUGAAAAAACUGGCUGGAAAUUGAUCCGAUCUACCAGUGCUGUUGCUAUGAAUUAUUAAAUAACAGAUGUAACCAACCAGCUGUUUUAUUCACAAUUGGAGCAUUUUGAGUCCAGAAAUAGAAUACAGCCAUUUGCAUUAAAAAUAAAGUGACUCCAUCAGUAAAUGAAGAGACAGCUGUCAACAGUUGCUUUUAAUAACGUCACUAAGUACUAUAUAGUACAGUAUUAAUUUAUAGCAGAAAAUCAUAUCUUGUAAACUGUAUAUAAAACACUGUUUUAUGGUGCAAUCAUUUGUCAAACUUUUGUCUGUUACUUUUGUUUGAAAGAUGUGUACAUUAUUCUUCAAUACCUAAGAGCAUCACUGUAAAAUCUGCUGAAUAUUAUUUAUAGGUUCUAUUUGCACAAGGUUUAAACUACAGAAAGUUCGUACUGAACAUGCCUAAACAUCUGUAGACUUCUUUCAGUUCAAGGAAAGUUCCCAUACGAGUCUUCUCCAAAGGUAAUCCCGUAUUUAUGUUGUGUUUACAUAAACUUUUCUAUUUCUGCCAUUCGUUCUUUUUGAAGGACAGCACAUUUUGUGCAUUACUCGAAAUUCUUCAGUCUUCUUCUUCCAAAUUCUCCGGAGGGUUAUUGCUAUGGGCGCCUUGUUUAUUCGGCUAACAAAGCGUGAGUGAGAUCAGAAGCUUGAAAUACCUUCAGAAUGAGAACUGUUGGAUACGUGUAUGUAAAUCUCAUGGUUGAGACACGAUCCCCUCAGAGCCAUUAGUCCCAGGGGUGAGUAGAAUGUGCUUCCUUGAGUGCACAGUCACAUCCAGCGCUCACGGUGCUUUGCUGGUAGUACAACCCGGUGCAGCAGAGCUGGGGCAGGGCUGUGCUCCUGAGCCUGACCCUCUGGCCGCCAUGCCAGCUGGGCCCUGCGUUAUGCCUGUGUUUCAGAGCUGUUAUUUAACCACUUCAGAACACGCGUGUAGAUAAUAAAAUUGUCCUUUAAAAACUGUGUGAAGGAUGAAAAUAAUGAAGGAAACGGUGUCCACCAGCGGCUCUGCGGCCCGGGCAUCCCGUCGCUCCCUGCCCCAGGCCCGGCUGCCUGCAUCCGUCUGCCUGCCUUUACUGAGGAGUGUUUUCUAAGUGCUUACAACAUUUCUUUUUUUUUUUUUAAUUUCUUUUUGUUGUUGUUGUUUUGUUUUUUAAUUGAUGAUUUCUGAACAAAUGUUAAUACAAACUGUAUAAAAAAAAAAUGAACAUAAUUUUCUUCACACUUGUAUUUUUGUUAUUGAGCAAGUUUAUCAAAAUAAAUUGUCUACUAAAACCUC
This is an RNA transcript of Coturnix japonica (Japanese quail), 4680 nucleotides long. It is a transcript of the gene named modulator of smoothened, with no coding region annotated. NCBI's taxonomy places the organism in Eukaryota, Metazoa, Chordata, Aves, Galliformes, Phasianidae. The record is from RefSeq and is a predicted model, not a curated record.